UUUUUUCUACUCAUAAUUGAAUGGGUUCUUUAAAGAUAUUAUCAGUUAACUGUCAAGGUCUAGGUGACAUUGAAAAGAGAAGAGAUGUAUUUAAUUUCCUUAAGUCUAAAACAUGCAACAUCUAUUGUAUUCAAGAUACACAUUUCACAAAUGAAAUUGAAAUGAAUAUUAAGACCAUGUGGGGCUAUGAGUGUUAUUUUUCAUCUUUCUCCUCAAACUCUAGAGGAGUUGCUAUAAUGUUUAAUAAUAAUUUUGAAUUUAGAGUAUUAAAAGAGAAGAAAGAUGUAAAUGGUAAUUAUCUAGCAUUAGAUAUUGUUAUAGAUAAGGAGAGGGUAACACUUCUAUCAUUGUAUGGUCCUAAUGCAGAUAAUCCUAAUUUUUACCAUCUUAUUAUGUGUAUUAUAGAAGAUUUUGGAAAUGAAAACUUUAUAAUAUGUGGUGAUUUUAAUCUUGUAUUGAAUCCUCAUAUAGACUAUUGUAACUAUUUACAUAUUAAUAACCCUAGUGCUAGAGAUAAAAUUUUAGAAAUCAUAGAUCAAUGGAACCUUAUAGAUCCUUUUAGGGAACUUUUCCCAGACUUGCGUAGAUAUACAUGGAGAAAAAAGAAGCCCUUUAAACAGGCUAGGUUGGAUUUUUUUCUUUUUACAGAUAAUAUGUUAACAAAUUUACUAAAUUGUAAAAU
This 682-nucleotide long non-coding RNA is filed under the name Mytilus galloprovincialis (Mediterranean mussel). Lineage: Eukaryota; Metazoa; Mollusca; Bivalvia; Mytilida; Mytilidae. The record is from RNAcentral.